GGGAUACCCCCUCGAAAGGGGGGCUAAUACUGGAUACGUUCCUCGGGUCGCACGAUCUGGGGAGGAAAGGUAGCUCGCAAGGGCUGCCACUCGUGGAGGGGCUCGCGGCCUAUCAGCUAGUUGGUAGGGUAACGGCCUACCAAGGCGAUGACGGGUAGCUGGUCUGAGAGGACGACCAGCCACACGGGGACUGAGACACGGCCCCGACUCCUACGGGAGGCAGCAGUGGGGAAUCUUCCGCAAUGGGCGAAAGCCUGACGGAGUGACGCCGCGUGGGGGACGAAGGCCUUCGGGUCGUAAACCCCUGUCAGAGGGAAAGAUGGGUGUCGGCGUGCACAGCGCCGGCAUCUGACGGUACCUUCAGAGGAAGCCCCGGCCAACUCUGUGCCAGCAGCCGCGGUAAGACAGAGGGGGCAAGCGUUGCUCGGAAUUACUGGGCGUAAAGGGCGUGUAGGCGGAGCGGCAAGUCGGUCGUGAAAGCCUCCGGCUCAACUGGAGAACGUCGAUCGAUACUGCCGCCCUUGAGGGUAGCAGAGGAGACUGGAAUUCCCGGUGUAGCGGUGAAAUGUGUAGAGAUCGGGAGGAACACCGGUGGCGAAAGCGGGUCUCUGGGCUACUCCUGACGCUGAGGCGCGAAAGCGUGGGGAGCAAACGGGAUUAGAUACCCCGGUAGUCCACGCUGUAAACGAUGGGCACUAGGUGUGGGGGGGGUUUAGCCCCCUCCGUGCCGCAGCUAACGCAUUAAGUGCCCCGCCUGAGGGAGUACGGCCCGCAAGGUUGAAACUCAAAGGAAUUGACGGGGGCCCGCACAAGCGGUGGAGUAUGUGGUUCAAUUCGAUGCAGAGCGAAGAACCUUACCUGGGCUUGACAUGCCGGAAGUAGAAACCCGAAAGGGGGACGACCUGUUAAGUCAGGAGCCGGCACAGGUGGUGCAUGGCUGUCGUCAGCUCGUGCCGUGAGGUGUUGGGUUAAGUCCCGCAACGAGCGCAACCCUCACCCUAUGUUGCCAUCAGGUUAUGCUGGGCACUCUUAGGGAACCGCCGGCGAAGAGCUGGAGGAAGGGGGGGAUGACGUCAAGUCCGUAUGCCCCUUAUGUCCAGGGCUACACACAUACUACAAUGGCCGGUACAGAGGGUAGCCAACCCGCGAGGGGG
RNAcentral lists this ribosomal RNA (1154 nucleotides) under uncultured bacterium. Its description in RNAcentral is "bacterial SSU rRNA". It matches the Rfam family "Bacterial small subunit ribosomal RNA", at positions 140 to 1265 of the family's 1533-position model. The record is from RNAcentral.